GAGAGCCGGAUGAGGGGGACCUUCACGUCCGGUUCGGAGGGCCGGGGUAUCCCGACCCUAC
This 61-nucleotide non-coding RNA is filed under the name Lupinus albus (white lupine). The record is from RNAcentral. Lineage: Eukaryota; Viridiplantae; Streptophyta; Magnoliopsida; Fabales; Fabaceae.